GACGAACGCUGGCGGCGUGCUUAACACAUGCAAGUCGAACGGGCCUGUCUUCUUUUUUGGGGGUGGGUUGAGUGGCGAACGGGUGAGUAUCACGUGAGUAACCUGCCCUUCGGUCCUGGAUAACCGCUUGAAAGGGCGGCUAAUACGGGGUGGUCCGGUUGGUCCGCAUGGGCUGGUCGGGAUAGAUUCACUGUUUUUGGUGUUUCGGCGGGGGAUGGGCUCGCGGCCUAUCAGCUUGUUGAUGGGGUGAUGGCCUACCAAGGCGGUGACGGGUAGCCGGCCUGAGAGGGUGGGCGGCCACACUGGGACUGAGAUACGGCCCAGACUCCUGCGGGAGGCAGCAGUGGGGGGUAUUGCACAAUGGGCGGAAGCCUGAUGCAGCGACGUCGCGUGAGGGAUGGAGGCCUUCGGGUUGUGAACCUCUGUUUCCGGUGGUGAAGGCCCUGUCCGUGUGGUGGGGUUGACGGUAGCCGGGGAUGAAGCGCCGGCUAACUACGUG
This 499-nucleotide ribosomal RNA is filed under the name uncultured bacterium. Its description in RNAcentral is "partial 16S ribosomal RNA". It matches the Rfam family "Bacterial small subunit ribosomal RNA", at positions 28 to 507 of the family's 1533-position model. The record is from RNAcentral.